UCGGAUCUUUGAGAGCGGCGCACGGGUGCGGAACACGUGUGCAACCUGCCUUUAUCAGGGGGAUAGCCUUUCGAAAGGAAGAUUAAUACCCCAUAAUAUAAUGACUGGCAUCAGUUCUUAUUGAAAACUCCGGUGGAUAGAGAUGGGCACGCGCAGGAUUAGAUAGUUGGUAGGGUAACGGCCUACCAAGUCAACGAUCCUUAGGGGGCCUGAGAGGGUGAUCCCCCACACUGGUACUGAGACACGGACCAGACUCCUACGGGAGGCAGCAGUGAGGAAUAUUGGACAAUGGGUGAGAGCCUGAUCCAGCCAUCCCGCGUGAAGGACGACGGCCCUAUGGGUUGUAAACUUCUUUUGUAUAGGGAUAAACCUACUCUCGUGAGAGUAGCUGAAGGUACUAUACGAAUAAGCACCGGCUAACUCCGUGCCAGCAGCCGCGGUAAUACGGAGGGUGCAAGCGUUAUCCGGAUUUAUUGGGUUUAAAGGGUCCGUAGGCUGAUUUGUAAGUCAGUGGUGAAAUCUCACAGCUCAACUGUGAAACUGCCAUUGAUACUGCAAGUCUUGAGUGUUGUUGAAGUAGCUGGAAUAAGUAGUGUAGCGGUGAAAUGCAUAGAUAUUACUUAGAACACCAAUUGCGAAGGCAGGUUACUAAGCAACAACUGACGCUGAUGGACGAAAGCGUGGGGAGCGAACAGGAUUAGAUACCCUGGUAGUCCACGCCGUAAACGAUGCUAACUCGUUUUUGGGUUUUCGGAUUCAGAGACUAAGCGA
This 771-nucleotide ribosomal RNA is filed under the name Chryseobacterium shigense. RNAcentral's name for it is "bacterial SSU rRNA". It matches the Rfam family "Bacterial small subunit ribosomal RNA", at positions 80 to 854 of the family's 1533-position model. The record is from RNAcentral. Lineage: Bacteria; Pseudomonadati; Bacteroidota; Flavobacteriia; Flavobacteriales; Weeksellaceae.